CACCUACAGAACGUGGUGGCCUGCCAAGGGGUCGACACGAGGAGGCGCUCCAUGGCUUCGCAGAAGAACUCUGCAAGCAGAGAAAGCGCCAGCAGGAGGCCAACGACAGCCUGCGGCGAAUGUUAGAGAGGAUAACCCUGGCCCUGCCCGAACAGGCCUGUCCAUCUCCCGCAUCUCACCGACGGCCACCCGACCUAUUCUGUUUGACGCCUCCUGAGGGUUCGGGCCCGGGGCUUCCAAUACCUGGUUGACUGGGACGGCUACGGGCCAGAGGAGGGACAUCCUCGACUCGAGCCUCAUCGCUGACUUCCAUCAUCUGUGUCUCGGUCAGCCGGGUGUGCGGCUGACCGGGAUACUGUAGGGAGGGGGGUACUGUCACGCCUUGAUGACCGCCCGACAACGAACACUGCCUGUCCCCCACCGCAAGCCUGCCUGCUUCCCUUGUACCUUCGACCAUCUGACCGUCCCGAUAACGACCAUUGAUUAGAAUAAUACAUUUGUAUAUCUUCUAAUAAUACACAUAAUGAACAUUCUUUUAGUGAUGGCUGUAAAGCAUGAUAUGGUGUAGCAUUUCCUCUUAGUUAGAGAACUAAGGUUGCUAACUAAGAGUAUUAUUAGUACUACGGUUCCUAACUAAGAGUAUUAUUAGUACUGUUCCCAUCUUUGUAACAAGUGUAUCCCAACUUAAACUGUUGGGCUACCCCCCACCCCUCAGUUCAAUUAUUGUAUUUUAAUAGUUUGGAAAGGCAGAGUGAGAACAGAGUGAGAACAGCUGAUGUGGUAGUUGAUCUUUGGGGCAUUCCGAGAUGAGUGUUCAAAUACUUGUGUCCAAAAUACAGAAUGCAGAAACUACUUUUGAGUGGCUUACCAUUACACACAGUGUUGAUUUACACUCAGGCUGUCUGCAGGCUGCUGCUACAAAUUGUGAUAGUUUGGUAUGUAAUUACAGAGGUGUACAAGAAAAAAACACCAGCCUCUCCACCUCCUCUCGCUUUUGAGGCUUUCCAAAUUAAGAAAUUAUUUCAACAUGUAUGUCAGCAAGAAGCACUGUGAUACAUGACCAUGACACAGGCGUCAUGGAAACAGCACAAAGCAUGGUACAUGUACAGUGGGUACAGAAGGCUGUGUCUGUAUCUCUUGGCUGGCGGGUUUUGCCAACAUCAACAGGUUAACAUUUUUAUUGGCACCGUGGUUAGUAGGCGUGUCUACUGUCUUAAAACCUAGGUUUGAGACCCUUUAGGCAUGUUACACUGGCACCACUGGCAAACACCAUUGUAAUUAUGCACUAAAGGGCCCUAAAUCCACUGGACUACACUCAAUAAUUUGGGAAAUUUCGAUUUGCUCCAGAAAAACACUACAUUUUUUCAUUUUGUUUAGAUUUUUCAGUCAGACCUUGAAACCUGGAUACAAAUUCCCUUCUCAUGGUGUUUCGGUACCUCUUUCCAAGGCUGAAAUACUGAGGUCAUGAGUCACAAUUCUUGAAUUCUACAAAAUCUUUGCUUUAGAAUGAUUCAUUUUUUUCAUUUCAC
Long non-coding RNA from Esox lucius (northern pike), 1529 nucleotides. The record is from Ensembl. NCBI's taxonomy places the organism in Eukaryota, Metazoa, Chordata, Actinopteri, Esociformes, Esocidae.